Long non-coding RNA from Eubalaena glacialis (North Atlantic right whale), 272 nucleotides. RefSeq lists it as uncharacterized. The record is from RefSeq and is a predicted model, not a curated record. The transcript is spliced from 3 exons. NCBI's taxonomy places the organism in Eukaryota, Metazoa, Chordata, Mammalia, Artiodactyla, Balaenidae.
ACCUAGAGUUCCCACCUUUCCUUUCUGUAAGAUGGGAAGUCCAAGAUCAAGGUUCUGGACAGUUAGCUUUCUGGUGAGGGCUCUAUUCCUGGCUUGCAGAUGGCUGCCUUCUCACUGUGUCCUCAGCAUUAAUGGUCUGGUGCCACCACUGCCGUCCAAUAUCACUGGUAUCAGCUGGGAAAUCAACUCAGUUGCUGCUACUGCUGCCAUCACCAGAAAUAGUCUGCUUGCAUCACCACCAUCAUCAUAGCUACUUGUUCCCAGUCCUAAGC